GACGGAGGGUGCUAGCGUUGUUCGGAAUCACUGGGCGUAAAGGGCGCGUAGGCGGCCUUGCAAGUCGGUUGGUGAAAGCCCGGGGCUCAACCCCGGAGGUGCGGCCGAGACUGCAGGGCUGGAGGCCGGAAGAGGAGGGUGGAAUACCCAGUGUAGAGGUGAAAUUCGUAGAUAUCGGGAGGAACACCAGUGGCGAAGGCGGCUCUCUGGGCAGAUACUGACACUGAGACGCGAAAGCGUGGGUAGCAAACAGG
Molecule: ribosomal RNA, 254 nt
Filed under: uncultured bacterium
Lineage: Bacteria
Description: partial 16S ribosomal RNA
Rfam family: Bacterial small subunit ribosomal RNA
Source: RNAcentral